UACGUAGGGUGCGAGCGUUGUCCGGAAUUAUUGGGCGUAAAGAGCUCGUAGGCGGCUUGUCGCGUCGGAUGUGAAAGCCCGGGGCUUAACUCCGGGUCUGCAUUCGAUACGGGCAGGCUAGAGUUCGGUAGGGGAGAUCGGAAUUCCUGGUGUAGCGGUGAAAUGCGCAGAUAUCAGGAGGAACACCAAUGGCGAAGGCAGAUCUCUGGGCCGUAACUGACGCUGAGGAGCGAAAGCGUGGGGAGCAAACAGG
Molecule: ribosomal RNA, 253 nt
Filed under: uncultured bacterium
Lineage: Bacteria
Description: partial 16S ribosomal RNA
Rfam family: Bacterial small subunit ribosomal RNA
Source: RNAcentral